RNAcentral lists this ribosomal RNA (253 nucleotides) under uncultured bacterium. RNAcentral's name for it is "partial 16S ribosomal RNA". It matches the Rfam family "Bacterial small subunit ribosomal RNA", at positions 524 to 776 of the family's 1533-position model. The record is from RNAcentral.
UACGUAGGUGGCAAGCGUUGUCCGGACUUAUUGGGCGUAAAGCGCGCGCAGGCGGUCCUUUAAGUCUGAUGUGAAAGCCCACGGCUCAACCGUGGAGGGUCAUUGGAAACUGGGGGACUUGAGUACAGAAGAGAAGAGUGGAAUUCCACGUGUAGUGGUGAAAUGCGUAGAGAUCCGGAGGAACCCCAGAGGCGAAGGCGGCGCCCUGGCUCGCAACUGACGCUCAGACACGACAGCAUGGGGAGCGAACGGG